GGCCGUUUAACUCAGCGGUAGAGUGCCUCGUUUACAUCGAGGAAGUCGCAGGUCCGAAUCCUGCAACGGCCACCA
This 75-nucleotide transfer RNA is filed under the name Candidatus Berkelbacteria bacterium CG10_big_fil_rev_8_21_14_0_10_41_12. Its description in RNAcentral is "tRNA-Val". It matches the Rfam family "tRNA". From Rfam's summary of the family: Transfer RNA (tRNA) molecules are approximately 80 nucleotides in length. Their secondary structure includes four short double-helical elements and three loops (D, anti-codon, and T loops). Further hydrogen bonds mediate the characteristic L-shaped molecular structure. tRNAs have two regions of fundamental functional importance: the anti-codon, which is responsible for specific mRNA codon recognition, and the 3' end, to which the tRNAs corresponding amino acid is attached (by aminoacyl-tRNA synthetases). tRNAs cope with the degeneracy of the genetic code in two manners: having more than one tRNA (with a specific anti-codon) for a particular amino acid; and 'wobble' base-pairing, i.e. permitting non-standard base-pairing at the 3rd anti-codon position. The record is from RNAcentral. Lineage: Bacteria; Candidatus Berkelbacteria.